This 279-nucleotide ribosomal RNA is filed under the name uncultured bacterium. RNAcentral's name for it is "partial 16S ribosomal RNA". It matches the Rfam family "Bacterial small subunit ribosomal RNA", at positions 28 to 334 of the family's 1533-position model. The record is from RNAcentral.
GAUGAACGCUAGCGGUAUGCUUAACACAUGCAAGUCGAACGAAAAAGCAAUUUUUAGUGGCGAACGGGUGAGUAACACGUGAGAAUUUGCCUUUAGGAAGAGGAUAACUUUAAGAAACGAAAGCUAAUACUCUAUAUGCCGCAAGGUGAAAGAAGAGAUUCGCCAAAAGAGAAGCUCGCGCCUGAUUAGCUAGUUGGUGGGGUAAUGGCCUACCAAGGCGACGAUCAGUAGCUGGUUUGAGAGGAUGACCAGCCACAUUGGAACUGAGAUACGGUCCAG